GAUGAACGCUAGCGGCGUGCUUAACACAUGCAAGUCGAACGAUUAGCCCGCCCUCGGGCGGUUAUAGAGUGGCGAACGGGUGAGUAACACGUGACCAACCUGCCCCUUGCUCCGGGAUAACCCAGGGAAACCUCGGCUAAUACCGGAUACUCCGCCAGGCCCGCAUGGGCCGGGCGGGAAAGCCCAGACGGCGAGGGAUGGGGUCGCGGCCCAUUAGGUAGACGGCGGGGUAACGGCCCACCGUGCCCGCGAUGGGUAGCCGGGUUGAGAGACCGAUCGGCCACAUUGGAACUGAGAUACGGCCCAGACUCCUACGGGAGGCAGCAGUGGGGAAUUUUGCGCAAUGGGGGAAACCCUGACGCAGCAGCGCCGCGUGCGGGACGAAGGCCUUCGGGUUGUAAACCGCUUUCAGCAGGGAAUAUCGUGAAGGUACCUGCAGAAGAAGCUCCGGCUAACUACGUGCCAGCCGCCACAGUAA
RNAcentral lists this ribosomal RNA (478 nucleotides) under uncultured bacterium. RNAcentral's name for it is "partial 16S ribosomal RNA". It matches the Rfam family "Bacterial small subunit ribosomal RNA", at positions 28 to 523 of the family's 1533-position model. The record is from RNAcentral.